RNAcentral lists this ribosomal RNA (460 nucleotides) under uncultured bacterium. Its description in RNAcentral is "partial 16S ribosomal RNA". It matches the Rfam family "Bacterial small subunit ribosomal RNA", at positions 338 to 795 of the family's 1533-position model. The record is from RNAcentral.
CCUACGGGAGGCAGCAGUGAGGAAUAUUGGUCAAUGGACGAGAGUCUGAACCAGCCAAGUAGCGUGAAGGAUGACUGCCCUAUGGGUUGUAAACUUCUUUUAUCAAGGAAUAAAACGAGGCACGUGUGCCUUUUUGCAUGUACUUUAUGAAUAAGGAUCGGCUAACUCCGUGCCAGCAGCCGCGGUAAUACGGAGGAUCCGAGCGUUAUCCGGAUUUAUUGGGUUUAAAGGGAGCGUAGAUGGGUUGUUAAGUCAGUUGUGAAAGUGCGCGGCUCAACCGUAACAUUGCAGUUGAUACUGGCAGUCUUGAGUACGGUUGAGGUAGGCGGAAUGCGUGGUGUAGCGGUGAAAUGCAUAGAUAUCACGAAGAACCCCGAUUGCGAAGGCAGCUUACGAACCCGUGACUGACAUUGAUGCACGAAAGUGUGGGUAUCAAACAGGAUUAGAUACCCUGGUAGUC